Non-coding RNA from Xylaria nigripes, 111 nucleotides. Lineage: Eukaryota; Fungi; Ascomycota; Sordariomycetes; Xylariales; Xylariaceae. The record is from the annotation of a GenBank genome assembly.
UCUCGAUUGGUCUAGUGGUCAGGAUACCUGCUUGUCAAUCUGUGAUCUACAAUGUAGAUUUCGGAAAUGAACAAGUCGCAGGUGGCCGGGGUUCGAUUCCCCGAUCGAGAG